GGGCGGAUAGCUCAGCGGUAGAGCGUCGCCUUUACACGGCGAGGGUCACAGGUUCGAAACCUGUUCCGCCUA
This 72-nucleotide transfer RNA is filed under the name Archangium sp. RNAcentral describes it as "tRNA-Val". It matches the Rfam family "tRNA". Rfam says of the family: Transfer RNA (tRNA) molecules are approximately 80 nucleotides in length. Their secondary structure includes four short double-helical elements and three loops (D, anti-codon, and T loops). Lineage: Bacteria; Pseudomonadati; Myxococcota; Myxococcia; Myxococcales; Archangiaceae. The record is from RNAcentral.